CCUACGGGUGGCAGCAGUGGGGAAUAUUGGGCAAUGGAGGCAACUCUGACCCAGCAACGCCGCGUGAAUGAUGAAGGUCUUCGGAUUGUAAAGUUCUGUGAUGGGGGAGGAAGACAAUGACGGUACCCCAAUAGCAAGCCACGGCUAACUACGGGCCAGCAGCCGCGGUAAUACGGAGGUGGCAAGCGUUAGCCGGAAUUACUGGGCGUAAAGGGUGCGUAGGGGGGAGGGGAAGUUGGCGGGGUAAUUCCGGGGCUCAACCUCGGCCCUGCCGUCGAAACUGUUAGCCUAGAGUGCAGGAGUGGUAAGUGGAAUUCCUCGUGUAGCGGUGCACUGCUUAGAUAUUAGGAGGAACUCC
Molecule: ribosomal RNA, 358 nt
Filed under: uncultured bacterium
Lineage: Bacteria
Description: partial 16S ribosomal RNA
Rfam family: Bacterial small subunit ribosomal RNA
Source: RNAcentral